CCAUGCUGUAAACGUUGGGCACUAGGUGUGGGGCCGCUUGGUUCUGCGCCGUAGCUAACGCAUUAAGUGUCCCGCCUGGGGAGUACGGCCGCAAGGCUAAAACUCAAAGGAAUUGACGGGGGCCCGCACAAGCGGCGGAGCAUGUGGAUUAAUUCGAUGCAACGCGAAGAACCUUACCUGGGCUUGACAUACACUAGAUUGGGCCAGAGAUGGUUUGUCCCUUUGUGGUUGGUGUACAGGUGGUGCAUGGUUGU
Molecule: ribosomal RNA, 254 nt
Filed under: uncultured bacterium
Lineage: Bacteria
Description: partial 16S ribosomal RNA
Rfam family: Bacterial small subunit ribosomal RNA
Source: RNAcentral